UAAUACGUAGGCAGCAAACGUUGUUCGGAAUUACUGGGCGUAAAGAGUGUGUAGGCGGUUCUGCAAGUUUGGUGUGAAAUCUCCCGGCUUAACUGGGAGGGUGCGCCGAAAACUGCAAGGCUAGAGUACUGGAGAGGAAAGCGGAAUUCCUGGUGUAGCGGUGAAAUGCGUAGAUAUCAGGAGGAACACCGGUGGUGUAGACGGCUUUCUGGACAGUCACUGACGCUGAGACACGAAAGCGUGGGGAGCAAACAGG
RNAcentral lists this ribosomal RNA (256 nucleotides) under uncultured bacterium. RNAcentral's name for it is "partial 16S ribosomal RNA". It matches the Rfam family "Bacterial small subunit ribosomal RNA", at positions 521 to 776 of the family's 1533-position model. The record is from RNAcentral.